Long non-coding RNA from Lagenorhynchus albirostris (white-beaked dolphin), 3177 nucleotides. RefSeq lists it as uncharacterized. The transcript is spliced from 5 exons. NCBI's taxonomy places the organism in Eukaryota, Metazoa, Chordata, Mammalia, Artiodactyla, Delphinidae. The record is from RefSeq and is a predicted model, not a curated record.
GAAUCUCUUGACUUGGGGAGGAAAUCACCAACAGUCUGGCAAGGCUGAUGCACAUGGUGGGAGGGUGGAAAUCCUGGCAGGGGCCAGAUUUUGCGCAGCCUUCCUUGUCAUUCUAGCGUCUGGACUUUAUCCUGGGGCGCUAAUAAUGUGACUUAAGGAGGCGGAGUGACAAGUUCACAUGUGCAGUUUUAGAAAGAUUAUUCUGAUGGCUGCGUGAGGCUAGAUUGGAGGGAGAAGGGGCUCCGUUUUGGGGAGUCAGGUAGUGCCUGUGCCGCUAGAGAAAGAGGGCUAUUGUUUGAGCGAGCUUUAGGAGGUGGAAUGACCAGACCAGACUGGAUAAGGGCGAGGGUGGCGCCUAAGUGUUCCGGCUUGGGUGACAGGGGGACAGUAGCCUUGUUACUGAGAUGAGGAGUCAGAAGGUGGGCCUGUUUGGGGUGUCCCGUAUAGUGGGCAUGUUAAGAGUGUAAGGAGGCAGUGCGACUCCCGGGGAAGACGCGCUGGGAGCAGCUGACGCCACAGGUGUGGAUGUGGGACUGUCCGGAGAGCGGGUGACAUAGAGUGACGCGGGGAUGCUUCUUUAGAGGCCGCUGGCCUCGCCCGGACCACGGCCCCGUCUCCCGCCUGACCGGAGCGGUACCUGUAGUGCGCAGGAAACUGCCACCUCAGCAGCAGCAGGCCCAGGAGGGCGCUGACGCCCAGCACCAGGAGCAGAGCGGUCACCAAGAAGAUCCAGGCUAAUGGACAAAAGCAGUCAGAUCUCGGGGGGCCACGCCUGGCAGGAGCCCCCCUCCCCGGUCCGCCAGGCCCCACCCCUCGCCGCCCCGGGGCGCCGGGCACCGUGUGAGUUGAGAACAUAUUGGUGAGUAAAAGCAGACACUGACUUUGCCCUCAUGGAUCAUGUAUAGUCAAGAUCAGCCUUUCUCAGCUGGAGCUCUGAGACAGAAUUUUGUCAUCAAUCAAAUAACCAUGGAACUUCCCUGAUGGCACAGUGGUUAAGAAUCUGCCUGCCAAUGCAGGGGACACGUGUUUGAUCCCUGGUCCAGGAAGAUCCCACAUGCAGCGGAGUAACUAAGCCCACGAGCCACAACUACUGAGCCCACGUGCCGCAACUACUGAAGCCCACGUGCCUAGAGCCCGUGCUCUGCAACAAGAGAAGCCACUGCAAUGAGAAGCCCUCGUACUGCAACAAAGAGUAGCCCCCACUCACCGCAACUAGAGAAAGCCUGCGCACAGCAACGAAGACCCAACGCAGCCAAAAGAAAAAAACUAUGUGAGGUUGUGCUUCUCUCCCAUGACAUCAAGCUCAGUCAGCAGUUCAGUUCUCACCUGUCUCUGGGGCAGCACCCUGCCCUGCUGUGGUAGAAGAAGCCUUGGGAGCUAGCAUGGUCCUGUUGCUGCCACUGACAGGUAACAUUCUUCAGGUCCAAGGUAAAGCAUUGCAGUCCAAUUUCCACUGGGGUCAGAGAAGGAAGUCCCAUCAGAGCCCACGUGCUCCUACUCUAUAGGGUGUCCAGAUCAUCUUUACACACGUAACUUGGAACAUUUACUCCUAUUCUGUCUUCUCUCCCUGAACAUAGUUCAUUCUGUCCAGUGGCAAGUUUGAGGUCAUCAGGAAGGACCAUGGUUUGCAGAGCUUCCAUAUCCAGCCCAGGCCUCUCUAGAGAUCUUUUCUAUCUCCUCCCCAUCUCCCCAUUCCUUUGUUGACUCACCUGCAUCCCCAGGCAGGUCCACGGUCACAGGGAGGGACCAAGAUCCCCAAGAGCCACGGAGGGAGACCCCAUCAGGUUGGCUGCGUAGCUGGAGCCAGUAGGAGUUCCCAGGCUGGAGCCCUGAGAGGAGGCAGCUUCCACCCUUCACUGUCAGAGACGGAGCCUUGGGAGAAGAAUCCCAGCCUCAGAAUCUAGGUCUGCCUCUCAGCCGAGAGAGCCUCCACCUCUUAUAUCUGAAGCCCCACAACAUGCCUGUGGAGAGACACUCAGUUCUUCACUGGAUAGAUAUGCAUACAGACUGGGAGCCAGGUCAGUGGGUUUCGGGUGGAGUGCAGGGCUUUUUAGGGAAAUCCCCAUGAACUUGGAGGCCUGAAGCUCUCAAUUUUGUUGGUAUGAAUGACCCAAAGUGGGAGAUCCCUAAAUAGACAUGGCUCCUAAUCAGAGCCUAUACUAACUCUCUAAGGACCAACCCAGUCUGGAAUCCCCGAAGUAUGGCCUAUCCUUUCUUGGGGGCAGAAUUGUGGGCAGGAGAUCAGGAGGUGGAGCGGAAGAAGGCCAGGAUACUUCUCUAGUUGUGGGGGUCUGCUCUGGUACAUCCUGGUGGGGCAUCACGGGCUGAGCACACGGAGACGGGUCCGGAGCUGGGGCUAGGUUUGGUCUCCGCAGAGCUGGGCAGCAGGUUUCUGUGGACAGCAGCAGUGUGACUGUGGGACCCGUGGAGUUCCUUGGAUCCUUGGGGCCAUAGCGGAGUUCGUGCCUCAGAAAUUCACUGAUUUCGGGAGCUGGGACCUCCCAGCUGAUCUGAAGUUCCCCUGGCUGGCUCCCUCCCAUGGCCUUGAUGAGGCUGGGGGGACCUGGCAGGCCUGAAGGUGAGACAGGGCACGUGAGAACUCUUUGGGGGCCACAGUCUACAGCUCAACCCAUGGACUGUGGAGAGGGGAUGCUGGAGGCUGGAUUGAGGGCAGCCCCGGGGGCAGGGCAGGAAGGCUCCUCAUCCUGUUCUCCUGUCCUCAGAACAGUGACCUCAUUGCAGGUUUGUUAGGCUCGGUGCUCCUCAAGAGCAGGGACCUCUCUUCAUCUGUGCAUCCUUUCCACCUAGCACAGUGCCUGGCACAUGAAGCAAGUGAGGUCCUCAAAUGUUCGGGAGAAACAGUUCAGGGACUCUGAGUCCGAGGCCAGCAAGGAGGCAUCUGAGGAAUAGCUGAGUGAUGAGGAAACUGAGAUGCAAAUAAAGACUUGCCUAAGAUGACACACCUCCUAAGAGGUAAAACUCAGGACAUCAAGCUUCAGAACCCAAGUGCUUGACAACCAUACCAGUGCCGCUGGAAGGUGUAAUUUGCCAAGAAACGACUGUCUGCCUUGCAACUGUGACAAAAUGGUGGCUAUUUCCACUCUAAUAGGUUCUGUCACUUUGUGCACAAAUAAACACGUUCUCCUUGGAACUACACAACAGCCUCCAUUGUGGGGA